This 724-nucleotide ribosomal RNA is filed under the name uncultured Glomus. Its description in RNAcentral is "SSU rRNA". It matches the Rfam family "Eukaryotic small subunit ribosomal RNA", at positions 313 to 1092 of the family's 1831-position model. Lineage: Eukaryota; Fungi; Glomeromycota; Glomeromycetes; Glomerales; Glomeraceae. The record is from RNAcentral.
UAUCAACUUUCGAUGGUAGGAUAGAGGCCUACCAUGGUGGUAACGGGUAACGGGGAAUUAGGGUCAAAUUACCCAAUCCCGACACGGGGAGGUAGUGACAAUAAAUAACAAUACGGGGCUCUUUCGGGUCUCGUAAUUGGAAUGAGUACAAUUUAAAUCCCUUAACGAGGAACAAUUGGAGGGCAAGUCUGGUGCCAGCAGCCGCGGUAAUUCCAGCUCCAAUAGCGUAUAUUAAAGUUGUUGCAGUUAAAAAGCUCGUAGUUGAAUUUCGGGAUUGACACAUCGGUCGUGCCUUAAGGGGUAUGAACUGGUGUAGUCAAUUUCUCACCUUCUGGAGAACCGCGAUGCCCUUAAUUGGGUGUCACGGGGAACCAGGACCUUUACUUUGAAAAAAUUAGAGUGUUUAAAGCAGGCAUUUUGCUUGAAUACAUUAGCAUGGAAUAAUAAAAUAGGACGGCAUGAUUCUAUUUUGUUGGUUUCUAGGAUCACCGUAAUGAUUAAUAGGGAUAGUUGGGGGCAUUAGUAUUCAAUUGUCAGAGGUGAAAUUCUUGGAUUUAUUGAAGACUAACUACUGCGAAAGCAUUUGCCAAGGAUGUUUUCAUUAAUCAAGAACGAAAGUUAGGGGAUCGAAGACGAUCAGAUACCGUCGUAGUCUUAACCAUAAACUAUGCCGACUAGGAAUCAGACGAUGUUAAUUUUUUAAUGACUCGUUUGGCACCUUACG